UCUUCCGCAAUGGACGAAAGUCUGACGGAGCAACGCCGCGUGAGUGAUGACGGUUUUCGGAUUGUAAAGCGCUGUUGAGUGGGACGAACGGUAUCAUGGCUAAUAUCCAUGGUAAGUGACGGUACCACUUUAGAAAGCCACGGCUAACUACGUGCCAGCAGUCGCGGUAAUACGUAGGUGGCAAGCGUUGUCCGGAAUUAUUGGGCGUAAAGCGCGCGCAGGCGGUUUUUUAAGUCGGUCUUAAAAGUGCAGGGCUUAACCCUGUGAUGGGACUGAAACUGGAAGACUAGAGUAUCGGAGAGGAAAGUGGAAUUCCUAGUGUAGCGGUGAAAUGCGUAGAUAUUAGGAGGAACACCAGUGGCGAAGGCGACUUUCUGGACGAAAACUGACGCUGAGGCGCGAAAGCCAGGGGAGCAAACGG
Molecule: ribosomal RNA, 421 nt
Filed under: uncultured bacterium
Lineage: Bacteria
Description: bacterial SSU rRNA
Rfam family: Bacterial small subunit ribosomal RNA
Source: RNAcentral